Molecule: long non-coding RNA, 460 nt
Organism: Neofelis nebulosa (Clouded leopard)
Lineage: Eukaryota; Metazoa; Chordata; Mammalia; Carnivora; Felidae
Exons: 3
Source: RefSeq, a predicted model, not a curated record
GCUAGGGUAACAGUAUACGUGUGAACCUAUGCUUUUGGCGGGGGUUAAGAAGCACUGUUGCAUAAAUAUUUUAAGUAGAGCCUGUACUGAAAUUCUAGAUGAAGAGGCAUUCACCGGUCCUCUGUGACAUGCUGGCGGCCCAAGCUGCGCUGUGGGCCAGGUAGUGCAUGACACAACGGCCAAGGACGGUGGGUGCUCGGUGAAGCUGUCUGCAGUCACAAUUACUCGUCGCUUUGGGAGCCCAAGGGCACAAGUGCACAGUGUAUGUGCACCAGGCGGGUUUCACGCCAAGUGUGGAGCCCAACGUGGGGACCAAACUCAACACCCUAAGAUCAAGGCCUGAGCUGAGAUCAACAUUCAGAUACUUAACCCAUAGAGCCACCUGGCCCCCCAUUGUGAGAUAUAUUCUCCAACUGUCCGGGGGGCGGGAAAUUAAAAUAUAUUUAAUUUUUAAAAUUUU